This 791-nucleotide ribosomal RNA is filed under the name Cryobacterium sp. B2056_2. Its description in RNAcentral is "bacterial SSU rRNA". It matches the Rfam family "Bacterial small subunit ribosomal RNA", at positions 63 to 864 of the family's 1533-position model. Lineage: Bacteria; Bacillati; Actinomycetota; Actinomycetes; Micrococcales; Microbacteriaceae. The record is from RNAcentral.
CGAACGGUGAUGAGGAGCUUGCUCUUUUGAUCAGUGGCGAACGGGUGAGUAACACGUGAGCAAUCUGCCCUUGACUCUGGGAUAAGCGUUGGAAACGACGUCUAAUACCGGAUACGACCUUGGAAGGCAUCUUCUGGGGUGGAAAGAAUUUUGGUCAAGGAUGAGCUCGCGGCCUAUCAGCUAGUUGGUGAGGUAAUGGCUCACCAAGGCGACGACGGGUAGCCGGCCUGAGAGGGUGACCGGCCACACUGGGACUGAGACACGGCCCAGACUCCUACGGGAGGCAGCAGUGGGGAAUAUUGCACAAUGGGCGAAAGCCUGAUGCAGCAACGCCGCGUGAGGGACGACGGCCUUCGGGUUGUAAACCUCUUUUAGUAGGGAAGAAGCGUUAAAGUGACGGUACCUGCAGAAAAAGCACCGGCUAACUACGUGCCAGCAGCCGCGGUAAUACGUAGGGUGCAAGCGUUGUCCGGAAUUAUUGGGCGUAAAGAGCUCGUAGGCGGUUUGUCGCGUCUGCUGUGAAAACCCGAGGCUCAACCUCGGGCCUGCAGUGGGUACGGGCAGACUAGAGUGCGGUAGGGGAGAUUGGAAUUCCUGGUGUAGCGGUGGAAUGCGCAGAUAUCAGGAGGAACACCAAUGGCGAAGGCAGAUCUCUGGGCCGUAACUGACGCUGAGGAGCGAAAGCAUGGGGAGCGAACAGGAUUAGAUACCCUGGUAGUCCAUGCCGUAAACGUUGGGAACUAGAUGUGGGGACCAUUCCACGGUCUCCGUGUCGCAGCUAACGCAUUAAG